This 459-nucleotide ribosomal RNA is filed under the name uncultured bacterium. RNAcentral describes it as "partial 16S ribosomal RNA". It matches the Rfam family "Bacterial small subunit ribosomal RNA", at positions 338 to 795 of the family's 1533-position model. The record is from RNAcentral.
CCUACGGGAGGCAGCAGUGAGGAAUAUUGGUCAAUGGCCGCAAGGCUGAACCAGCCAAGUCGCGUGAGGGAUGAUGGUCCUAUGGAUUGUAAACCUCUUUUGUCAGGGAGCAAAGGACGCCACGUGUGGCGCUUUGCGAGUACCUGAAGAAAAAGCAUCGGCUAACUCCGUGCCAGCAGCCGCGGUAAUACGGAGGAUGCGAGCGUUAUCCGGAUUUAUUGGGUUUAAAGGGUCCGCAGGCGGAAUGCAAAGUCAGCGGGAAAAUCUCGGGGCUCAACCCGGGAGUGCCGUUGAAACUGGCGUUCUUGAGUGAGCGAGAGGUAUGCGGAAUGCGUGGUGUAGCGGUGAAAUGCAUAGAUAUCACGAAGAACUCCGAUUGCGAAGGCAGCAUACCGGCGCUCAACUGACGUUGAUGCACGAAAGCGUGGGUAUCGAACAGGAUUAGAUACCCUUGUAGUC